AUGAUGAAAACGAUUGUGCAGGGAAGUCUCAACAUUAGUGUUAGGGCUCUGCAAAAAGAUGCAGAAGAUCAAAUUCGCUUCCCUGUCAGCUACAACAAGUCUAGGUGUGCGAAGGAAAAUAUAUUCAAGAACUUGUAUGGUACCUAUAACGAGGCCUAUUCUUAUGCACCCAGAAUGCUUCAUCACAUAGCAAGUGCUAAUAGGGGGACUCAAGUUUGGCGGAGAGAACAUGCAAACCCAAUGAACUCGGGUGAGCUAAUCCUGGACCGCUUAUUCUGGGCAUUCGCCCAGACUAAACAAGCCUUCAGGCACUAUCGCCCGGUACUAUCAGUUGAUGGUACCUUUCUCACUAGAAAGUACAAGGGCACACUAUUGGUGGCGAUUGCAGCGGAUGCAACUAAUCAACUUCUUCCUAUUUCAUAUGCACUGGUCGAGAGCGAGAACAAAGAUAGCUGGUUGUGGUUCCUGAGCUGCGUGAAGAUGGGUGUCGUGAAAGAGCGUGAAGGUGUUUGCAUCAUCUCUGAUCGCAAACUGGCUUAUUAA
This 543-nucleotide ribosomal RNA is filed under the name Triticum aestivum (bread wheat). RNAcentral's name for it is "partial small subunit ribosomal RNA". The record is from RNAcentral. Lineage: Eukaryota; Viridiplantae; Streptophyta; Magnoliopsida; Poales; Poaceae.